RNAcentral lists this ribosomal RNA (867 nucleotides) under uncultured bacterium. RNAcentral's name for it is "bacterial SSU rRNA". It matches the Rfam family "Bacterial small subunit ribosomal RNA", at positions 526 to 1397 of the family's 1533-position model. The record is from RNAcentral.
CGGAGGAUCCAAGCGUUAUCCGGGAUUUACUGGGUUUAAAGGGUGCGUAGGCGGGCGCUUAAGUCAGCGGUGAAAGGCAGCGGCUCAACCGUUGAAUUGCCGUUGAAACUGGGCGCCUUGGAUUCGGUCGAGGCCGGCGGAUGCGUGGUGUAGCGGUGAAAUGCUUAGAUAUCACGCGGAACGCCGAUUGCGAAGGCAGCUGGCCAGACCGAGAUCGACGCUGAGGCACGAAAGCGUGGGGAUCAAACAGGAUUAGAUACCCUGGUAGUCCACGCCGUAAACGAUGAUCACUGGAUGCCGGCGAUACACCGUCGGUGUCUGAGCGAAAGCAUUAAGUGAUCCACCUGGGGAGUACGAUCGCAAGGUUGAAACUCAAAGGAAUUGACGGGGGCCCGCACAAGCGGAGGAACAUGUGGUUUAAUUCGAUGAUACGCGAGGAACCUUACCUGGGCUAGAACGCCGAGCGCAUAUGGGGGAAACCCCAUAGCCAGCAAUGGCGGUCGGCGAGGUGCUGCAUGGUUGUCGUCAGCUCGUGCCGUGAGGUGUCGGGUUAAGUCCCAUAACGAGCGCAACCCUUAUCGUUAGUUGCCAUCUGGUAAUGCAGGGGACUCUAGCGAAACUGCCACCGUAAGGUGAGAGGAAGGUGGGGAUGACGUCAAAUUAGCACGGCCCUUAUGUCCAGGGCUACACACGUGUUACAAUGGCCGGUACAGAGGGCAGCUACCUGGUGACAGGAUGCUAAUCUCGAAAACCGGUCUCAGUUCGGAUCGAAGUCUGCAACUCGACUUCGUGAAGCUGGAUUCGCUAGUAAUCGCGCAUCAGCACGGCGCGGUGAAUACGUUCCCGGGCCUUGUACACACCGCCCGU